Molecule: ribosomal RNA, 452 nt
Filed under: Lirophora mariae
Lineage: Eukaryota; Metazoa; Mollusca; Bivalvia; Venerida; Veneridae
Description: partial 16S ribosomal RNA
Rfam family: Bacterial large subunit ribosomal RNA
Source: RNAcentral
UUUGUAAAUUAGAAUAAAGAGUCGGUCCUGCCCGGUGAUGAAUAAACGGUUGCAACGAGAGUUGUACUAAGGUAGCGUGAUAAUUUGCCUUUUGAUUUAAGGAUGGUAUGAAUGGAUUGACGUAUAACUUCUUUUUUUAUAUAAUUUGUUGAAGUUCCUUUUUAAGUGAAAAAGCUUAAGUUAUUAAAAAAGACGAGAAGACCCUGUCGAACUUGAUUAAAGACAAUAGAGAAGCUGUGUCUAGAAGUUUUGUUGGGGCAACACUAACAAAUUUAGCAGUUAGUUUAUCGGCGUGAAUCCUUUUUGAAAGAAAAUGGAAAAAGUUACCGCAGGGAUAACAGCGUUAUUUCUUUUAAGAGAUCGUAUUGAGAAAGAAGUUUGCGACCUCGAUGUUGGAUUAUAAAAACUUUACGGUGUAGCAGCUGUAAUUGUGAGACUGUUCGUCUUUUAAA